GCCCUGUGCCCAGGGGCACGCUGCACUCACACUGUGGGUUUUCCUCCGUCCAUUUCCAGAGCUGUGCUGAGAGAGAGGAAGGUGGGUGGUGAUGGCCGGCCUACAGGACAGGGCCAUGGACAGGCAGCCCCAGAUAUGCCUGGCACAGUGAGUCCCUCACUACCAACUCCAGAGAGGGCUUCGUCCCUAGCAGCAGGGGGACCUCACGGGCACCGUUCAGCAAGGAGGCCAGGCACCAGAGUGUCUGCCAGAGGGGCAGCAGUGGCCUUCUAGGGACGGGGACCUCAUGUGCCAGCCCAGGGGAUGCGUGCACGGCCCCUGAGCUGGACUCCGAAGACGCCUACUUUUUACAUGUGGCCUUUAAUUAGAGAAAGGAGAAGUGCGAUUUCUCCCGAAGUCGUUUGCAUGUGGGGGGAUCUAGGCUCUGGUGGCAGUGGAACCAGUUCCUCCGGAGGCCGGAGGCCAGGGGCCUGCAGACACCCCGGAGCUGGGGCUUUCCUCUGGGCCAGCUCUCAUUUCCGCAUCUGAGCCUCCGGGUUCCAGAACCUCCCCCAUGCAGGGGCCGUUUUAGAUGAAGAGCUUCCUCUCAACCUAGAGUGACCCUGGCCUCCAGUCCACAGCAGGGCAUCCUGCCUGUGCACGGGUCCCUUGGGCUGGGCUGACCUCACAGGAUGGGAUGUCCAAAGGCCCCUGUGGCUUGGGCCCCUGCAUAUUUUUCUCCAGAACCCAUAGAAUUUGUGGGUGGGUGGAGUUAGCCACUCUGUCCCUCUCUACAACUUCCAACAUUCCCAGGGGACCCAUGCAAUGUGUCCUUCUCAUUCUUUCAACUUGUCUUUGUUUAUUUUUUUUUCAGUCAGGGCCUCACUAAGUUGCUGAGGCUGGCUUUGAACUUGUAAUCCUCCAGCCUCAGCCUCCUGAGCCACUGGGAUUACAGGCGUGCCCCACUACACCUGGCUUCAACUUUUUAUUACACAUGGAAGAUUUCCACACUGGAACGAGUUCACCCACAUCACCCCUAUUCUGCUCAUCUUUUGGAGACUCAUAGUUUGGUCCAAAUUUAUAAAAAUGUGGUAAGCUAAAAGAAAAAAAAAAUUACCUAAAAGAAGCUAUCGGCCCAAUCAAGAACGGCUUAAUAUUAUUCAUUUUCUUCUUUGAAUGUUGUUGUUUUGUUUUGUUGUUGUCCUGUCUCUCUAAGGUGCUUAGGUCCUCACUGAGUUGCUGAGGCUGGCUUUGAACUUGAGAUCCUCCUGUCUCAGCCUCCUGAGUCGCUGACACGGUGCCCACCCCUGAACAUGGUUCUUAAGAGCCGUUUUAGAGCUGCUGGCUCAGGGCUCCCUCCACAGGCCUCGGUUUGUUAAUAGUCUCUAGAUUCAAGCUCUCUGAGCGUUUCCGGGUGUGUUCAGAGUCUCCCACGUCGUCCAGAGGCUGUGCCCAGUGUUGUAAAUUGCCUCUCUCUGUUCUCGGCAUCUGGGUGUCGUCAGGCCUCCACCAAACCCCAGGAAGGCAGACUCCCCGCCAGCUCCUAUCCAACCUUGGUUUUCCCAAGUCCUUCCUUCACAGAGCCGGGCAGCACAACCAUUCCCAACUUGGAAGGCUUAGAUCUUUGUAAUUGAAAACACCUUCACGACACCUGCUGCUGGCCAGGCUGACCCCCAUCUUGCGCAGCUCCUCAGCUUCAUGCUCCCCUUCAGCAGGACAAGGGUACUGCCCACCUCCAGGCCUCUCCCUGAAGCCACUCCAAGAGCAGGUGGGUGAAGUCCCACUGCCCUGGGCACACUAGAGGCGAGACUCUCUGAGCCAAGGAAGUGGGUAGACACCACGGCGGGCACUGGUGACAGCGGAACCCCACAGAGCAGAGCCUCAGCCUCUGGACAGCCGGUGCCACCUGUCUGCCGAAUUCGAUGGUGAUCUGUGGUUUUCCUUCCGGAACUUCCAGCCCAAGAUCAAACACCUGUCAAGUCUGGGGACUGAGUAAGUCUGGGCCUUCUUGAAGGGUUCCGGGCUGCUCCUCAGUCUCCUCAUUUUUGAUUUCACAGCAGAUUUUCCUAUUCAAGUCGGGUGGGCGCCCUCUCUCCUCAGCGGGUUGGCUGGAGUCCUGAGGUAUGUGUUCAAGGGGGUUCCGCAGCCUCACUCUCCACGCCAGCCCAGGGCAGUCCCCACGUGAUUUGAAAGACCCACCCCAACACGCCCGACAGAAGCCACCGCGACGGCCCUGGCACCCUUGAGGAGACUGCUUCUGGCACCCAUGGGCACCGACACAGGUGCUCCAGGCCCCGGCACGGGCAUGGCAUCUGCAUGGGACCUGCAGGCCCGCCCCUUACCCCACGCUGGCUGCUGUCCAGUGUCUAACUCGGGUGACAUCCAGGCUGGGACAUGGUUGUCACCCCAGCUGUGGGGGCUCAUGGGAGGGCUGUGCCCCUUCAGGACACGGGCAGGGCUGUCAGAUGUGCAUGGCCGAGUUCAGAUGGGGACAGCCAGCUGCCGUGGGGGUGCGUUUUUAAAGUCCCAGCGGAUCUGAAGAUGGCUCCUGUGGCUUUGCUAUAGCAACACAAGGACACGAGGGCCUUUCUUCUCCUUCCUUCUCGGCCCUCCCUGGGCAGGUCAUGCUGGUGUAGGGAGGGUCCAGCAGGCCGGGUCAGUUCAGGAAGUUGACCUGGUGUCCACCGUGGGGCACUCAGCCAGACCUGGAUCUGUGUCCAUCCCCCAGUUUCUCUUCAGAUUUUGAGUCAGUUACUUUUCUCUGGAGGUUAGACUUGCUGUGAGGAGAAUAGCCAGGGGCCAGCAAGUCCACCUUUGGCCCCACGGUGGCCGGCCAGGCCUCUGCAGCCCCAGCGGGAAAGGGGGCAGCAAGGGUAGGCAGCUCAGAGAAGAGGGUGUCCCCAGUCCUCCACUGCGUGACGCCCAUGAAGUGGAGGCAGGGAGGCCAGGAACACACACCACACACACACCACAUACACACACCACGUACACACCAAACACAACACACACACAACAUACAACACACACAACACACAACAUACAACACACACAUCAUACACCACACAACACACACACAACACACAACACCCACACCAUACACACAUCACAUAUACCACACACAUCACACACACACAACACCCACACCACACACACACAUAUUACACACACCACACAUACACACACACACACCCCACAUGUGCCCACCAUGCUGAGAACAUGCAGGAGCGGUGGCCAUUGGGCCUCUGAUGAGCUGGGCAUUGUCCCCAGGCCUGUGGGCUGGGUGCUGAAAGUCCAGCCUAUUUAAAACACACACGGAACUUGGGAACGCAGCCCUCGAGAGCGGUGAGGAGACUGGAGGCACUCCCGCAGGCUCGGUGGCCUGCAGGGAUGGUCCCCCAUCACACAGAUGCAGGAAGGGCCAUGGGGUGCACUUAGGCUGCACAUGGCCAACGGCCAUUGCGGAUAUGUCCUCGCUUUCUCCGCUUUGUGGACUCUUGACCUGCUUAGAGUUGCCGUGGGUGAUGUCCCAGCCUCUGUCCUGAAAAGCAAGUGGUCCACUGCCUUGGUGAAGUGGCAGGUGACCAGAAGGUGAAGCUGAAGACACUCUCUCAGGGGUGAUGACCCUCGAGGGUGAACAUCAGGCCUGGACCUCCAAGGCCUUUGGCUGCUGGUUUCUAGUCCCCAUGCUUCGGCGUCCCCUGUGCCCAGCUGGAGGACAUGGCUCUGUCCAGUGGGAGCCCAGGCUGGGCCGCUGUGUGGCUGGGAGCCUGCUGUGCCUGGCAGGCCCAGGGAGGGCCAGGGCGGGCAGUGUGGGCAGGUUGUCCUGGGCCCAUCUGCACACUGCUUGGGACUCAUUUCUUUAGCGUUUUUCUCUAAAGCAGAUCCACGCUAAGUCAGCAGACCACAGGAGAGGACUCCCAGGAGUCCCCGGGGCCUGCGCGGCCUUCACCACGGCCUGCCCUGGGCUCCUGCGCUCCACUCUGGCUUCUGGCUUUGCUGCCCAAGGCCAGUCCCUGCAGCUGGCCAGGGCAAGGGGGCACCCGCCGCACCGUCCCAUCAGACCCACAGACACAAAGACGCAGCCCCGAGACGCUUCCAGAAGUGACCUCCACUUUAGGGCCCCUCACCCUCCGUGAGGCGGUCCUGCCCUGGGGAUGGCCGUGGUGGACAACACCCUCUUCUGUGCCACCAUGUUUCCCCUGGGACAGCUCACAGCAGGGCUGGUGCACUGGAGCGUCUAGCUGCGGGUGGAAGGGCAUUUUGAACAUUUUGUAGGCCAGUGUACUUCAGGGCCCACCUGAGAAGCGUGGCCACCAUCGGUCUCUAUUGCACAGUGCGUUCAGGCUCUCAGAGAAACUCUGUUGAAGGGAAACAUGGUUGCUCCAAAGAAAAAAUAUUAAGUGAAUGGAAAAUGUGGUCCUCAGAGAUGGCCAAGCAGGAGAAGGCGGCGGGCGCUCGGAGAGUAGCUAUGGGCUGUGGCUCUGGAGGCUGAGGACAGUCUUGGUGGCCAUGGGCGGGAGGCGCUCUCGCCCUCCUGGUCCAGGUACCUGCAGAUCCAGCGAGGGGCUGCAGUCCCCGUGGGGAUCGGACGUCCAGCACGGUGGGACUGGACCAGCCCACAGGAAGGGCACAGCCAUCUCGCAGGAAGACCCACUGAGGGACCAGGCGGCUGGGGAUCUGGUGGAGUCAUGGAGGGCAGCAUGUCCAGGACAGCAGGUCGGAGAAGCUCCAGAGCUUCCUCUACACGGGCCUCCCUCGGCCUUUCUGAACGGGAGCCACGUUUCCAUUCCACGCUGAGCCUGCAUCAUGAAGCUGGUGUGGACCCUCUGGGUCUUGACCCAGUGCCACUGGGGCUGUCCCUCAGGCGUGUGAGAUCAAGACAGGCACAGCUUGGCACAGGGCGGGCAUGGCGAAGACGUGGCCAGGAACAGGGGCCCCGG
This 4919-nucleotide long non-coding RNA is filed under the name Marmota monax (woodchuck). The record is from RNAcentral. Lineage: Eukaryota; Metazoa; Chordata; Mammalia; Rodentia; Sciuridae.